AGAGUUUGAUCAUGGCUCAGAACGUACGCUGGCGGCACGCCUAACACAUGCAAGUCGAACGAAGUAGCAAUACUUAGUGGCAGACGGGUGAGUAACAUGUAGGUAUCUGCCCUUUGGCCUGGAAUAACACGAGGAAACUUGUGCUAAUACCGGAUAAGUCUUUACGGAGAAAGCUUUAUGCACCAUUGGAUGAGCCUGCACUUGAUUAGUUUGUUGGUGGGGUAAUGGCCUACCAAGACUGUGAUCAAUAGCUGAUUUGAGAGGAUGAUCAGCCACAUUGGGACUGAGACACGGCCCAAACUCCUACGGGAGGCAGCAGUGGGGAAUCUUGCACAAUGGAGGAAACUCUGAUGCAGCGAUGCCGCGUGAGUGAAGAAGGCCUUUGGGUUGUAAAGCUCUUUCGUCGGGGAAGAAAAUGACUGUACCCGAAUAAGAAGGUCCGGCUAACUUCGUGCCAGCAGCCGCGGUAAUACGAAGGGACCUAGCGUAGUUCGGAAUUACUGGGCUUAAAGAGUUCGUAGGUGGUUGAAAAAGUUAGUGGUGAAAUCCCAGAGCUUAACUCUGGAACUGCCAUUAAAACUUUUCAGCUAGAGUAUGAUAGAGGAAAGCAGAAUUUCUAGUGUAGAGGUGAAAUUCGUAGAUAUUAGAAAGAAUACCAAUUGCGAAGGCAGCUUUCUGGAUCAUUACUGACACUGAGGAACGAAAGCAUGGGUAGCGAAGAGGAUUAGAUACCCUCGUAGUCCAUGCCGUAAACGAUGUGUGUUAGACGUUGGAAAUUUAUUUUCAGUGUCGCAGGGAAACCGAUAAACACACCGCCUGGGGAGUACGACCGCAAGGUUAAAACUCAAAUGAAUUGACGGGGACCCGCACAAGUAGUGGAGCAUGUGGUUUAAUUCGAAGAUACGCGCAGAACCUUACCAACACUUGACAUGUUCGUCGCGACUCUGAGAGAUUAGAGUUUUCGGUUCGGCCGGACGAAACACAGGUGCUGCAUGGCUGUCGUCAGCUCGUGUCGUGAGAUGUUGGGUUAAGUCCCGCAACGAGCGCAACCCUCACUUUUAGUUGCCAUCAUUAAGUUGGGCACUCUGAAAGAACUGCCAGUGAUAAGCUGGAGGAAGGUGGGGAUGACGUCAAGUCCUCAUGGCCCUUACGUGUUGGGCUACACACGUGCUACAAUGGUAUCUACAACAGGAAGCAAGACUGCGAAGUUAAGCAAAUCCCUAAAAGAUACCUCAGUUCGGAUUGCACUCUGCAACUCGAGUGCAUGAAGCUGGAAUUACUAGUAAUCGUGGAUCAGCGUGCCACGGUGAAUGCGUUCCCGGGUCUUGUACACACCGCCCGUCACACCAUGGGAGUUGGUUCUACCUUAAGGCAAGGUUUCAAACCCUUGACCACGGUAUAGUCAGCGACUGGGGUGAAGUCGUAACAAGGUAGCCGUAGGGGAACCUGCGGCUG
RNAcentral lists this ribosomal RNA (1455 nucleotides) under Pelagibacteraceae bacterium AG-414-C04. Its description in RNAcentral is "bacterial SSU rRNA". It matches the Rfam family "Bacterial small subunit ribosomal RNA". The record is from RNAcentral. Lineage: Bacteria; Pseudomonadati; Pseudomonadota; Alphaproteobacteria; Candidatus Pelagibacterales; Candidatus Pelagibacteraceae. RNAcentral also lists the same sequence under 1 other name.